RNAcentral lists this ribosomal RNA (330 nucleotides) under uncultured Glomeromycotina. RNAcentral's name for it is "LSU rRNA". Lineage: Eukaryota; Fungi; Glomeromycota. The record is from RNAcentral.
CAGUCGUACCGGUGGGUAAUCAGCCUUUCGGCGUGAUUAUGUGGAGCGUGAGGAGUUAAACGCCCCCAUGGCCUGCAUAUUCGUGUUCUUUGGGUGUACUUACCCGCAUGGUAGGUUAACAUCAAUUUCGAACGUCAUAAAAUGGUUGGAGGAAUGUAGCUUCGAUCUCGUAUUGAAGUGUUAUAGACUCCGGCAGAUGUGAUGAUCGGGAUUGAGGAUUGCAACGGAUACCCUUCGGGGCUACCCGUCUGAUCUCUGAAAGUUGCUCUGGUGCUGAAAGCUUGCUUACGGUUAUCAAAGUUGAUGGUUAAUAAGUUAGAACGGGUUAAA